GUCCACGCCCUAAACGAUGGCAACUAGUUGUUGGGGGAUGAACUCCCUUAGUAACGCAGCUAACGCGUGAAGUUGCCCGCCUGGGGAGUACGGUCGCAAGAUUAAAACUCAAAGGAAUUGACGGGGGCCCGCACAAGCGGUUGAUGAUGUGGUUCAAUUCGAUGCAACGCGAAAACCUUACCUACCCUUGACAUGUCAGGAAGCCCGAUGAGAGUUGGGUGUGCCCGAAAGGGAGCCUGAACACAGGUGCUGCAUGGCUGUCGU
This 264-nucleotide ribosomal RNA is filed under the name uncultured bacterium. RNAcentral's name for it is "partial 16S ribosomal RNA". It matches the Rfam family "Bacterial small subunit ribosomal RNA", at positions 793 to 1055 of the family's 1533-position model. The record is from RNAcentral.